ACCAGCCAAGUAGCGUGAAGGAUGACUGCCCUAUGGGUUGUAAACUUCUUUUAUACAGGAAUAAAGUGGUCCACGUGUGGAUAUUUGUAUGUACUGUAUGAAUAAGGACCGGCUAAUUCCGUGCCAGCGAGCCGCGGUAAU
RNAcentral lists this ribosomal RNA (141 nucleotides) under uncultured bacterium. RNAcentral describes it as "partial 16S ribosomal RNA". It matches the Rfam family "Bacterial small subunit ribosomal RNA", at positions 387 to 524 of the family's 1533-position model. The record is from RNAcentral.